CCUACGGGAGGCAGCAGUGAGGAAUAUUGGUCAAUGGACGAGAGUCUGAACCAGCCAAGUAGCGUGAAGGAUGACUGCCCUAUGGGUUGUAAACUUCUUUUAUAAAGGAAUAAAACGAGGCACGUGUGCCUGUUUGCAUGUACUUUAUGAAUAAGGAUCGGCUAACUCCGUGCCAGCAGCCGCGGUAAUACGGAGGAUCCGAGCGUUAUCCGGAUUUAUUGGGUUUAACGGGAGCGUAGAUGGGUUGUUAAGUCAGGUGUGAAAGUUUGGGGCUCAACCGUAAAAUUGCAAUGGAUACUGGCAGUCUUGAGGACAGGUGAGGUAGGCGGAAUUCGUGGUGUAGCGGUGAAAUGCUUAGAUAUCACGAAGAACCCCGAUGGCGAAGGCAGCUUACUAAACUGUGACUGACAUUGAGGCUCGAAAGUGUGGGUAUCAAACAGGAUUAGAUACCCCAGUAGUC
Molecule: ribosomal RNA, 460 nt
Filed under: uncultured bacterium
Lineage: Bacteria
Description: partial 16S ribosomal RNA
Rfam family: Bacterial small subunit ribosomal RNA
Source: RNAcentral